RNAcentral lists this ribosomal RNA (442 nucleotides) under uncultured bacterium. RNAcentral describes it as "partial 16S ribosomal RNA". It matches the Rfam family "Bacterial small subunit ribosomal RNA", at positions 338 to 795 of the family's 1533-position model. The record is from RNAcentral.
CCUACGGGAGGCAGCAGUGGGGAAUAUUGGGCAAUGGGCGCAAGCCUGACCCAGCAACGCCGCGUGAAGGAAGAAGGCUUUCGGGUUGUAAACUUCUUUUGUCAGGGAAGAGUAGAAGACGGUACCUGACGCAUCAGCCACGUCUAACUACGUGCCAGCAGCCGCGGUAAUACGUAGGUGGCAAGCGUUGUCCGGAUUUACUGGGUGUAAAGGGCGUGUAGCCGGGUUGACAAGUCAGAUGUGAAAUCCUGCGGCUUAACCGCAGAACUGCAUUUGAAACUGUUGAUCUUGAGUACUGGAGAGGCAGACGGAAUGCCUAGUGUAGCGGUGAAAUGCGUAGAUAUUAGGAGGAACACCAGUGGCGAAGGCGGUCUGCUGGACAGCAACUGACGGUGAGGCGCGAAAGCGUGGGGAGCAAACAGGAUUAGAUACCCCAGUAGUC